Molecule: long non-coding RNA, 445 nt
Organism: Pan troglodytes (chimpanzee)
Lineage: Eukaryota; Metazoa; Chordata; Mammalia; Primates; Hominidae
Exons: 3
Source: RefSeq, a predicted model, not a curated record
UGAGUUCCCAGACAGCAGGAAACCUGGCUUCUAGCUUGCUGGCCCAUAGUAGGUUUGCAACAGAUGAAGAGACCCAUGCUGAGAAGCCUAAUGGGUCAGGCAGGUGCAUGAGCAAAUGAACCGGGUACCUGACAUGGACACACUUCACUUACAUAUCACAUAGGAUGAAGAUAUCCAUGCAAACAUAAAUAUGGUACCUGGGAGCUGUCAGACAUGCUGGAGUUACUUUAGACUUAAGUGGAAAUUAGUUCAAACACAUGGUUAUUUUAAAGCGAGGUAGUGGAGUUGGGAGCUCUGGUGAAGGAAGCAGAAAGAACACAGGGCUUCGCACCAGAGGACUGGGUGCUAAUUGCCUGGAUUGUGAGGUUGUUGUGAAGAUCAAAUGAGGUAAUGCAUGUAAAGUACUUAGCACGGUAUCCGGCACACAGAAACCCAAGGAGAAAUG